AUGGGGCUCUGGAACUACGGCCGCAAUGGCAAGCACGACCGCGAGGCUGGCUCCUCGUCGGGGCGUUGCCGCGGCUCGGUGAAGAAGGAGGAGCCGGCCUCGCCAUCGCCACCACGCCGGGCCCCCUCGCCGCCCGCGUUCUCCAUCGCCCCCGCGUCCGCCGGCGAGCGCGACCGGCACUACAUCCGCGCUGAGGUGUGCCGCCGUUAUUGGGAGACGAGGACGCCGAUCCCCUGGAGCGACGCCCACCUCCCCAACAACUGGCAUUUGUCGGCCGACCACGUGCCGAUCCCGUCGGUCCCGGUGACCGGCCGUGCGCGCCGCCAGGAGAUCGAGUGCCGCCGCCGCCUCCUCCCGGACGACCCCUACUACGAUCCCAGGUACGCCCCCGACUCGCCAUUGUGGGACACCUGGUUCCGCGAUGAGCACGACGCGCGGCGGGCGUCCUAUUUCGCCGGCACGUCGACGGGGCCACGGCGGCCACGCCCAGAUGGCCGAGCGGCCGCUCCCCAGGAGCGCGGGCGUAGGGUGGUGCGCGGCCUCACGCCCACGCCGUCGCCAUCUCCAUCGCCACCACCACCUCCUCGCAUGACGGCGGAGGAGGAAGCCCGUCUCGUGCAGCGUGUCAUGGAGGACUCCAUGCGCACGCACGACGAGCGGCAAUGGGAUGGCUUGGAGGAGGCCAUGGCACUGUCUGCCGCCGGCGACGUGGCCUUCCCGGAGCUGCAGAUGGCGGCCUUGACGGAGGAGAGGAGGGAGGACGCCAUGGAGGAGGAGCCGGCGGCCGCCUUCCAGUAG
This 798-nucleotide ribosomal RNA is filed under the name Triticum aestivum (bread wheat). Its description in RNAcentral is "partial small subunit ribosomal RNA". The record is from RNAcentral. Lineage: Eukaryota; Viridiplantae; Streptophyta; Magnoliopsida; Poales; Poaceae.